CUCCGAGGCACAGUCUGUAAAAUGAAGAUAACCUACCUUAUAGGAACACUCUGAUUAAAUUAUGAAACAAUAAACUAUAAAGCACUGUGCAAAUACAAUUUCACUUUGAAGUCAUCAGUUUCCAUUCUUCUCUCCCCUGGGUUCACUCAUGUGCCUCCCAGAGCCCCUAGGUCCCUUCCCUGCCUCUCGCUGCCAGGUAGAAGAGCACUCACUGCCUUCACCCAGUCCUUGCGUGUAUCACCUCAUUUAAUCUUCGAAGCAAUCCUGGAAGGACAUCUCAUCUCAGCCCUGAUGAGGACAAGGAUUCAAGGAAACUUCACUUGCCUUCUCUUCUGCCGGUUUCCCAGACCAGCCUGCAGUGGCAACGGCACAUGAAGGUUGUGCGCUGACUGCUACACGGUGACAGAUUCUAGCUUACUGCCUGUCGCCCUUGUGGGCCCUGGAAUCCAGACCCAUAUCCUGGGAGUCACGUGAGAUCAAAGGUACGAUUGCUCCAUUGGUCCUAAAUUACUUCACUCUGAGUUCAGACGCUUCAUGGUACAAAUGCUCAGAUGCACUGAGGGCCUCACCUGGCACUUGAGAAA
Microcebus murinus (gray mouse lemur) is the source of this 584-nucleotide non-coding RNA. The record is from RefSeq and is a predicted model, not a curated record. NCBI's taxonomy places the organism in Eukaryota, Metazoa, Chordata, Mammalia, Primates, Cheirogaleidae.